Molecule: ribosomal RNA, 468 nt
Filed under: uncultured bacterium
Lineage: Bacteria
Description: partial 16S ribosomal RNA
Rfam family: Bacterial small subunit ribosomal RNA
Source: RNAcentral
GACGAACGCUGGCGGCGUGCUUAACACAUGCAAGUCGAACGGAAAGGCCCUGCAUUUGUGGGGUGCUCGAGUGGCGAACGGGUGAGUAACACGUGAGUAACCUGCCCUUGACUUUGGGAUAACUUCAGGAAACUGGGGCUAAUACCGGAUAGGAGCUCCUGCUGCAUGGUGGGGGUUGGAAAGUUUCGGCGGUUGGGGAUGGACUCGCGGCUUAUCAGCUUGUUGGUGGGGUAGUGGCUUACCAAGGCUUUGACGGGUAGCCGGCCUGGGAGGGUGACCGGCCACAUUGGGACUGAGAUACGGCCCAGACUCCUACGGGAGGCAGCAGUGGGGAAUAUUGCACAAUGGGCGGAAGCCUGAUGCAGCAACGCCGCGUGCGGGAUGACGGCCUUCGGGUUGUAAACCGCUUUCGCCUGUGACGAAGCGUGAGUGACGGUAAUGGGUAAAGAAGCACCAGCUAACUACGUG